GUCGAACGCACAGCGAAAGGUGCUUGCACCUUUCAAGUGAGUGGCGAACGGGUGAGUAACACGUGGACAACCUGCCUCAAGGCUGGGGAUAACAUUUGGAAACAGAUGCUAAUACCGAAUAAAACUUAGUAUCGCAUGAUACCAGGUUAAAAGGCGCUACGGCGUCACCUAGAGAUGGAUCCGCGGUGCAUUAGUUAGUUGGUGGGGUAAAGGCCUACCAAGACAAUGAUGCAUAGCCGAGUUGAGAGACUGAUCGGCCACAUUGGGACUGAGACACGGCCCAAACUCCUACGGGAGGCUGCAGUAGGGAAUCUUCCACAAUGGGCGAAAGCCUGAUGGAGCAACGCCGCGUGUGUGAUGAAGGCUUUCGGGUCGUAAAGCACUGUUGUAUGGGAAGAAAAGUUAAGGUAGGGAAUGACCUUAGCCUGACGGUACCAUACCAGAAAGGGACGGCUAAAUACGUGCCAGCAGCCGCGGUAAUACGUAUGUCCCGAGCGUUAUCCGGAUUUAUUGGGCGUAAAGCGAGCGCAGACGGUUGGUUAAGUCUGAUGUGAAAGCCCGGAGCUCAACUCCGGAAAGGCAUUGGAAACUGGUUAACUUGAGUGCAGUAGAGGUAAGUGGAACUCCAUGUGUAGCGGUGGAAUGCGUAGAUAUAUGGAAGAACACCAGCGGCGAAGGCGGCUUACUGGACUGUAACUGACGUUGAGGCUCGAAAGUGUGGGUAGCAAACAGGAUUAGAUACCCUGGUAGUCCACACCGUAAACGAUGAACACUAGGUGUUAGGAGGUUUCCGCCUCUUAGUGCCGAAGCUAACGCAUUAAGUGUUCCGCCUGGGGAGUACGACCGCAAGGUUGAAACUCAAGGAUUUGACGGGGACCCGCACAAGCGGUGGAGCAU
Molecule: ribosomal RNA, 897 nt
Filed under: Leuconostoc carnosum
Lineage: Bacteria; Bacillati; Bacillota; Bacilli; Lactobacillales; Lactobacillaceae
Description: bacterial SSU rRNA
Rfam family: Bacterial small subunit ribosomal RNA
Source: RNAcentral